AGUAGGGAAUCUUGCGCAAUGGGCGAAAGCCUGACGCAGCCAUGCCGCGUGAAUGAUGAAGGUCUUAGGAUUGUAAAAUUCUUUCACCGGGGACGAUAAUGACGGUACCCGGAGAAGAAGCCCCGGCUAACUUCGUGCCAGCAGCCGCGGUAAUACGAAGGGGGCUAGCGUUGCUCGGAAUUACUGGGCGUAAAGGGCGCGUAGGCGGACAGUUUAGUCAGAGGUGAAAGCCCAGGGCUCAACCUUGGAAUUGCCUUUGAUACUGGCUGUCUUGAGUAUGGAAGAGGUAUGUGGAACUCCGAGUGUAGAGGUGAAAUUCGUAGAUAUUCGGAAGAACACCAGUGGCGAAGGCGACAUACUGGUCCAUUACUGACGCUGAGGCGCGAAAGCGUGGGGAGCAAA
This 402-nucleotide ribosomal RNA is filed under the name uncultured Phenylobacterium sp. Its description in RNAcentral is "bacterial SSU rRNA". It matches the Rfam family "Bacterial small subunit ribosomal RNA", at positions 353 to 772 of the family's 1533-position model. The record is from RNAcentral. Lineage: Bacteria; Pseudomonadati; Pseudomonadota; Alphaproteobacteria; Caulobacterales; Caulobacteraceae.